UACGCUUGCAUACGUCAUGACGGGGCGUA
This 29-nucleotide small RNA is filed under the name Bombyx mori (domestic silkworm). Its description in RNAcentral is "ovarian small RNA-21120". Lineage: Eukaryota; Metazoa; Arthropoda; Insecta; Lepidoptera; Bombycidae. The record is from RNAcentral.